AGAGUUUGAUCAUGGCUCAGGACGAACGCUGGCGGCGUGCUUCACACAUGCAAGUCGAACGGGAUCCAUCUGAUGGCAACAUCAGUGAAGAUCUAGUGGCGAACGGGUGCGUAACACGUGAGAAACCUACCCCGGACUCUGGAAUAACAGAUGGAAACACCUGCUAAUACCAGAUGCCUUCGCUCAGUCGCAUGGCCGAACGAAGAAAGGCUUGCCGGUUCGGGACGGUCUCGCGACCUAUCAGCUUGUUGGCGGGGUAACGGCCCACCAAGGCAUCGACGGGUAGCUGGUCUGAGAGGAUGAUCAGCCACACUGGGACUGAGACACGGCCCAGACUCCUACGGGAGGCAGCAGUGGGGAAUCUUGCCCAAUGGGCGAAAGCCUGAGGCAGCAACGCCGCGUGCGGGAAGAAGGCCCUCGGGUUGUAAACCGCUUUCAGCAGGAACGAAAAUGACGGUACCUGCAGAAGAAGGUGCGGCCAACUACGUGCCAGCAGCCGCGGUA
Molecule: ribosomal RNA, 504 nt
Filed under: uncultured Actinomycetes bacterium
Lineage: Bacteria; Bacillati; Actinomycetota; Actinomycetes
Description: bacterial SSU rRNA
Rfam family: Bacterial small subunit ribosomal RNA
Source: RNAcentral